Molecule: ribosomal RNA, 522 nt
Filed under: uncultured bacterium
Lineage: Bacteria
Description: bacterial SSU rRNA
Rfam family: Bacterial small subunit ribosomal RNA
Source: RNAcentral
AAUAGAUACCCAGGUAGUCCACGCCGUAAACUAUGGAUGCUAGCUGUUAGAAGUAUCGACCCUUCUAGUAGCGAAGCUAACGCGUUAAGCAUCCCGCCUGUGGAGUACGAGCGCAAGCUUAAAACAUAAAGGAAUUGACGGGGACCCGCACAAGCGGUGGAGCGUGUUGUUUAAUUCGAUGAUAAGCGAAGAACCUUACCCAGGCUGACAUCCUUGGAAUUUUGCCGAAAGGCGAGAGUGCUUUAUUGAACCAAGUGACAGGUGAUGCAUGGCCGUCGUCAGCUCGUGUCGUGAGAUGUUUGGUUAAGUCCAUCAACGAGCGCAACCCUUGUAGUUAGUUGUAUUUUCUAGCUAGACUGCCCUGGCAACAGGGAGGAAGGAGGGGAUGAUGUCAGGUCAGUAUUUCCCUUACGUCUGGGGCUACAAACACGCUACAAUGGCCGGUACAAAGGGCAGCCAACCCGCGAGGGGGAGCAAAUCUCAUCAAAGCCGGUCUCAGUUCGGAUUGUAGGCUGAAACUCG